Molecule: ribosomal RNA, 372 nt
Filed under: uncultured organism
Description: partial 16S ribosomal RNA
Rfam family: Bacterial small subunit ribosomal RNA
Source: RNAcentral
GUAGGGUGCGAGCGUUAAUCGGAAUUACUGGGCGUAAAGCGUGCGCAGGCGGUUGUGCAAGACAGAUGUGAAAUCCCCGGGCUCAACCUGGGAAUUGCAUUUGUGACUGCACGGCUAGAGUGUGUCAGAGGGGGGUAGAAUUCCACGUGUAGCAGUGAAAUGCGUAGAGAUGUGGAGGAAUACCGAUGGCGAAGGCAGCCCCCUGGGAUAACACUGACGCUCAUGCACGAAAGCGUGGGGAGCAAACAGGAUUAGAUACCCUGGUAGUCCCACGCCCCUAAACGAUGUCAACUAGUUGUCGGGUCUUAAUUGACUUGGUAACGCAGCUAACGCGUGAAGUUGACCGCCUGGGGAGUACGGUCGCAAGAUUAA